UGGAGGAAAUGUGGGUCCUUUUAGAUGGACCCUCGUUAGUUUGAAAUUGCACAAUAUUGAAUAGGUUCGUAGUUGUUAUUUGUUUUAUGAAUACAUUUGGUGCUCCAUCGCCCAUUAAAAUGUUUUCCAAUCCAAAGCAGAUAGAAAUUAUGCCGUAAUAAAUGUGUCAUAACAAUGCUCUCUCUAGUCGAUUUUAUCUUCA
This 202-nucleotide long non-coding RNA is filed under the name Elaeis guineensis (African oil palm). RNAcentral's name for it is "long non-coding RNA (EGUI_LNC005315)". Lineage: Eukaryota; Viridiplantae; Streptophyta; Magnoliopsida; Arecales; Arecaceae. The record is from RNAcentral.